This 74-nucleotide transfer RNA is filed under the name Pararhizobium mangrovi. Its description in RNAcentral is "Pararhizobium sp. BGMRC6574 tRNA-Gln". It matches the Rfam family "tRNA". Rfam says of the family: Transfer RNA (tRNA) molecules are approximately 80 nucleotides in length. Their secondary structure includes four short double-helical elements and three loops (D, anti-codon, and T loops). Lineage: Bacteria; Pseudomonadati; Pseudomonadota; Alphaproteobacteria; Hyphomicrobiales; Rhizobiaceae. The record is from RNAcentral.
UGGGGCGUAGCCAAGCGGUAAGGCAUCGGUUUUUGGUACCGUGAUCCCUGGUUCGAAUCCAGGCGCCCCAGCCA